Molecule: long non-coding RNA, 919 nt
Organism: Ailuropoda melanoleuca (giant panda)
Lineage: Eukaryota; Metazoa; Chordata; Mammalia; Carnivora; Ursidae
Exons: 4
Source: RefSeq, a predicted model, not a curated record
UCUCCUAAAGCAGCCCCCACUGUCCCAGUUCAAACCCACCUACCAGCAGUCAACGUAGCCCUUGGAGCCUGACAGCCUGCAGUUCCCUAUAAAAGCCUUGUAACCCCAUGUCACUUGUUCUCUCGCCGGUCUGAUUCUUAUUUUUCUGCAACAUUUCUGGAGUCCCCAGCGAGAUGCCAACCUGUCUGGCCCCUUGAGUCACCAGCCGGUAGCUCGACUGCACUGAAGCAGGGAGGAACCCAGGAUAAUCAGAGGUGCCACACUGCCCGACAGUAUUCCAGGUCCUGCUUCACCCUGGAGUUCCAACCCUCCGGGCAGUCUUGGCCCGGCUGGACUCCGAGGAGAAGUGGACCUACUCUCCUCGCAACUCAUCUGGACUUGAUUAUGCUUCAGUGGCCUGGAAAUGAAGUCCAUAAAUCACUGUACAAUCCUGGAUUCUCAGCAUGAGAGUACCUUCAAAGAAAAUCAUCCCUCCGCAGCUGUUCAAGGUUGAUGGACUACUUGCACCAUGUUUUCUUCCUCAGCAAAAACCACCGGAAACCACUGAUUUGAGGAGAAUGAGAGACAAAUGGAGCAGCCCUGGUCCCCACCCACAACUUUAUGCCAACAUAGCUGAGGUCAAUCUAACAACCUACAGAUGCCUGAGCAAGAAAUAAAUCUGUUAUGUCACUGAAUUUUGGGAUUGUUUAUUAGGCAGCAUAUUUUGGGCAAUAGCUGAUGAAUGCAGUUAAGAACAUAACUUUAUAGACAUAAAAUAGAAUACCAUAAUAUUUCCUUUCGAUGAAGACUAAAAAAGGGCCUCUAUCUUUUAGAUACAUAGAAGAAUUUGUUGACGAUAACUGUGUUGUCCUAGAUUGGUUAAUUGGGGAACACUGGAAGAUUUUUUUCCAGGAUAGCUUAAUGAAGAGUCAUUUUUCUG